AAAAGUGAGACACAAACACACACAUCAGCGUAGACCUACACAGGGUCAGAAUCAUCAAGACAUUACUAAGUGAUAGGAAUUUUUCGGCUUCACUAUAAUCUUAUGGGACCACCAUUGUAGAUGCAGUCCAUCAUUGACCAAAAUGUUGUUUUGCAGCACGUGAUGGUAUAUCUGCUUUUCUGGGUCUAAGAUGAGUGACACUGAAUUGUUGAAGGAUGAGGAAGAUGUUCUGGAUCAAAUAAAUAAUGCUGCAGAGAAGAUUAAACCAACAGAACUCAGAAACAACUGUUACACGUCAGGAAAAGGAAGAGGAACCAACAAAGAAGACUUAGAAGCAGCGGCCAAUGCAACAGGAAAAUAACCCGGGGAAUGUAGAAUCCUGAAAGCCAUGGAAGGAAUGCCUCCAGUUUCAAAGGAAAAAGAUAAGCAAACUUACGCUCAAAGAAGCUGAGACAUUGUUGACUCUCUUCUACCUGCCCCUCUGGUCUGGCCCAAUCUUCCCAGUGAUAGCAAGAACAGAGACAACACCAUCAACAAGCUUCCUGGGUGAUUCCAUUCUUGGCUGCCCAUCAGACACAAAUCUAGGGGAAUUAUGCUCCACCCUUUCCUGGCCUAAGGGUUUCCUCCCUACAUGUCUUUUGUUGUUAGUAGAAUAAGCAAUCUAAUGGGACAAUAAACUUAAAAUCUAUAUUAAAUAAACUUGGGAAGCAACAGGACUGUAGGAUCCCAAAAUUAUUAAAUAUGCAUGUUUGAAUUAAUAUAGUCAUAUAAGAUAAUCCAAUUUUCUUCUUUUUUUAAUUACAUAAUUUUUACUCGAUAUGUUUGUCAGCUGACUAUACCAACCCCAGACAAAUCCUAAAGUGUUGCCUUGACCUAAUUAGAUAUGUCUUCAAUUAUUUGCUUUGUCAUUUAGUUACAAUAUUUGGAAAAUGAGUUUGUGUCCCAGACUAUUCUAUAGGCGACUGGGUAGCUCACCUUCUUUUGUCAAUAACCUUAGUAACUGUUUUUGUUGUAUGUUAAUGAAAUUAUAUUAUGCUUUCAUAAUAAAACUUUUGCAAGUAACCAAAUAUUUACUUCAUUGCAGUAGCUUGUUAAGAGCUAUCUAUUGGUAUCCCACUGACUUGUUUCAUUAUUUUUCCACUUCCUUUACACAAUUCAUUGUAUUUUGGUGAAGUCUGUUUUUCUAAGAUUGUUAAAUCUUCAUUUUGAAAAGCUAAACUGGACUUAGAAAAUAUGAAUACAUUUUAUUGACAAGUUCAAUUCUUAUUGUUUUAAUCUGUUUUUGUGGUAAACAUUUGCUGAUUUCUGCUCUUUUGAUCUAUUCCUGUUUCUUUUCUUAACAACAUUUUCCUCGAUGGUUCAAUCUUUCUUCUGUGCUUGGCCUCUGCCAUUAUAGUACUAUUUAUUCCAGCUAUGAUUUCAGGGGCACUUAUCAGACUCCAGCAUGACCAGUCAGACUACUGCCUUCUACUGGCCACAGUAAUUUGUCGAAAGAUUGGAAUGUGACCCAGUCAUAGCUAAUAAAACAUUGUAAGGAUUUUGGUAGACUGCUGGAGAAGAAAAAUGUGUUCUUUUUCACUGGCCAUGAACUUGGAAGGAUAUGACUUUGGAUCUGUUGUAGUUUUCAUGACAUCGUGAUGGAAAAACUGAUCCGAAGAUGGAGCCAUAACAUAGAAAGUAGCAAUGGAUAGAGAAAAAAUACAUCUCAUUGAUAUAUAUUUAACCUUGGUUCUAACUAUAUAUGUCUAUGUCUUGGUUCCAACAAUCUCAUCUAUGUCUUGCAACUUUUGUUUAUUAAUUCAAUGAAUUUAUCUCCCCCACUGUUUUCCUCUCCUUAAUUCAGCUUUACUUGGGUGCCCUUUGAUUUGCAGCUGAUGUAAUGCACACUUGGACCAAGUGUGCGUGGUACUCAUGACAUAAAUGCUUAAAGGCAUCAGAGCUUAGUACGCGGGGGAAAUAACUGAACUAUAAUUUAGUCGAUUUAAUUGACUUCUUGCUAUUUACAAUAUCGGGGCAAUUAGGCAAGAGAAAGAA
Long non-coding RNA from Cercocebus atys (sooty mangabey), 2034 nucleotides. RefSeq lists it as uncharacterized. NCBI's taxonomy places the organism in Eukaryota, Metazoa, Chordata, Mammalia, Primates, Cercopithecidae. The transcript has 3 exons. The record is from RefSeq and is a predicted model, not a curated record.